UACGAAGGGGGCUAGCGUUGUUCGGAUUUACUGGGCGUAAAGCGCACGUAGGCGGAUUGUUAAGUGAGGGGUGAAAUCCUGGAGCUCAACUCCAGAACUGCCUUUCAUACUGGCAAUCUAGAGUCCGGAAGAGGUAAGUGGAACUCCUAGUGUAGAGGUGGAAUUCGUAGAUAUUAGGAAGAACACCAGUGGCGAAGGCGGCUUACUGGUCCGGUACUGACGCUGAGGUGCGAAAGCGUGGGGAGCAAACAG
RNAcentral lists this ribosomal RNA (252 nucleotides) under uncultured bacterium. RNAcentral's name for it is "partial 16S ribosomal RNA". It matches the Rfam family "Bacterial small subunit ribosomal RNA", at positions 524 to 775 of the family's 1533-position model. The record is from RNAcentral.